GUGGGUCGUGAUCUUCAUCAUCGUCACUCGUAUCAGUUCGACGCCACCGAGACCGAGCUACAAUGGUAUCGAGUGACUCGGGGAGGAUUUUGGAGCCUUCAGUCUGUACUCUGAAAGAGCAAGGAAAGGAGCUUGGGAUUUGGAGAAAAGAAAGCGUGACGAAGAUGAAGAGAGGAAUGUGAAAUAAUGAACUUUUUUCUCUGUAGAAUAACAGUUGUCUCAUUGGAUUGCUUUGCUUGUAGUUUCAGAUUAUGUCAUAUACACAAAUGACUAGAAUUUCAGUCAUAAGGUGUACUUAGAAGUUGCAGCUUUCAGUUGUAAGGAGAUUGGUGAUAAUGACUCGGAGUCUGUCCAAAAUGAAUUUUUGACUCGGUGAAAGUAAUUUUAAAAUUUUAUGCAAACCAUGCUUAGCUGCC
Long non-coding RNA from Humulus lupulus (European hop), 416 nucleotides. RefSeq lists it as uncharacterized. The transcript has 3 exons. Lineage: Eukaryota; Viridiplantae; Streptophyta; Magnoliopsida; Rosales; Cannabaceae. The record is from RefSeq and is a predicted model, not a curated record.